RNAcentral lists this ribosomal RNA (222 nucleotides) under Neisseria sp. HMSC066B07. RNAcentral's name for it is "partial 16S ribosomal RNA". It matches the Rfam family "Bacterial small subunit ribosomal RNA", at positions 1172 to 1393 of the family's 1533-position model. The record is from RNAcentral. Lineage: Bacteria; Pseudomonadati; Pseudomonadota; Betaproteobacteria; Neisseriales; Neisseriaceae.
GGUGGGGAUGACGUCAAGUCCUCAUGGCCCUUAUAGGUGGGGCUACACACGUCAUACAAUGGCUGGUACAAAGGGUUGCCAACCCGCGAGGGGGAGCUAAUCCCAUAAAACCAGUCGUAGUCCGGAUCGCAGUCUGCAACUCGACUGCGUGAAGUCGGAAUCGCUAGUAAUCGUGGAUCAGAAUGUCACGGUGAAUACGUUCCCGGGUCUUGUACACACCGC